Molecule: non-coding RNA, 82 nt
Organism: Danio rerio (zebrafish)
Lineage: Eukaryota; Metazoa; Chordata; Actinopteri; Cypriniformes; Danionidae
Source: Rfam
GACGAGGUGGCCGAGUGGUUAAGGCUAUGGACUGCUAAUCCAUUGUGCUCUGCACGCGUGGGUGCGAAUCCCAUCCUUGUCG